RNAcentral lists this ribosomal RNA (324 nucleotides) under Triticum aestivum (bread wheat). RNAcentral describes it as "partial small subunit ribosomal RNA". Lineage: Eukaryota; Viridiplantae; Streptophyta; Magnoliopsida; Poales; Poaceae. The record is from RNAcentral.
AUGGAGAGCGCAACAGCAACACCAUCGGCCAUCGCGGCUGGCAACGAACCGUCCUGCUCGUCUCCCGACUCGUCGUCAAGAGCCGUGAUCGACAUCGACGGGAUCGUCAAGGGUUUGAACUGCGCCAACACCGAAUGCCGGGAUAAGCUCGAGGCGAUGACCGCCACAUGCUGGGUGCAGGAACCGCCGCCGGACGCCACGGCAUGCGCCAGCGCACGGGAGGCUCUGGCCGAGUGCCUAUCCAAGGCGUCGGCCGGCGACAUGGAGCAGCAGCAGGGGAACUCGAGUUCAUCGGUUGUGAUCGACGCCGGCCUUGUUAAUUAG